This 75-nucleotide small nucleolar RNA is filed under the name Athene cunicularia (burrowing owl). RNAcentral's name for it is "Small nucleolar RNA SNORD19 (ENSACUG00000007540.1)". It matches the Rfam family "Small nucleolar RNA SNORD19". Rfam says of the family: Homo sapiens C/D box snoRNA HBII-108: This snoRNA is the human orthologue of the mouse MBII-108 and is predicted to guide 2'O-ribose methylation of the small 18S rRNA on position G683. snoRNA HBII-108 is encoded in a nucleostemin (NS) gene intron like the HBII-210 Lineage: Eukaryota; Metazoa; Chordata; Aves; Strigiformes; Strigidae. The record is from Rfam by way of RNAcentral.
GAGAAAUGAGGAUACAGAAUUCAUCUUAACUUCUGUAGUGAAGACUUCAGAUCCAACUCUGAUCUCACGCUGGAG